RNAcentral lists this ribosomal RNA (628 nucleotides) under uncultured bacterium. Its description in RNAcentral is "bacterial SSU rRNA". It matches the Rfam family "Bacterial small subunit ribosomal RNA", at positions 8 to 630 of the family's 1533-position model. The record is from RNAcentral.
AGAGUUUGAUCCUGGCUCAGAAUGAACGCUGGCGGCGUGCCUAACACAUGCAAGUCGAAUGUGCCGCAAGGUGCAUGGCAGACGGGUGAGUAACGCGUAGGGAAUCUACCUCUUUGUGGGGAAUAACGCUCCGAAAGGAGUGGUAAUACCGCAUGAGACCGUGGUCUGGGAUGACUACGGUGAAACCUGGGGACCGCAAGGCCUGGGGCAAGGAGCGGAUCCUGCGUCUGAUUAGCUAGUUGGCGGGGUAAUGGCCCACCAAGGCGACGAUCAGUAGCCGGCCUGAGAGGGUGAUCGGCCACACUGGAACUGAGACACGGUCCAGACUCCUACGGGAGGCAGCAGUGGGGAAUUUUGCGCAAUGGACGAAAGUCUGACGCAGCAACGCCGCGUGGGUGAUGAAGGUCUUCGGACUGUAAAACCCUGUCGUCAGGGACGAAGGCUGAGGGGUUAAUAACCUUUUAGCUUGACGGUACCUGGAGAGGAAGCCCCGGCUAACUCUGUGCCAGCAGCCGCGGUAAUACAGAGGGGGCAAGCGUUAUUCGGAAUUAUUGGGCGUAAAGGGCGCGUAGGCGGUUUUUUAAGUCAGAUGUGUAAUCCCCGAGCUUAACUUGGGAACCGCAUCUGA